GGGGGUAUAGCCCAGUGGAAGAGCACAUGCUUAGCAUGCAUGAAGUCCUGGGUUCAAUCCCCAAUACUUUCU
Molecule: transfer RNA, 72 nt
Filed under: Camelus bactrianus (Bactrian camel)
Lineage: Eukaryota; Metazoa; Chordata; Mammalia; Artiodactyla; Camelidae
Also listed under: 2 other names
Rfam family: tRNA
About the family: Transfer RNA (tRNA) molecules are approximately 80 nucleotides in length. Their secondary structure includes four short double-helical elements and three loops (D, anti-codon, and T loops). Further hydrogen bonds mediate the characteristic L-shaped molecular structure. tRNAs have two regions of fundamental functional importance: the anti-codon, which is responsible for specific mRNA codon recognition, and the 3' end, to which the tRNAs corresponding amino acid is attached (by aminoacyl-tRNA synthetases). tRNAs cope with the degeneracy of the genetic code in two manners: having more than one tRNA (with a specific anti-codon) for a particular amino acid; and 'wobble' base-pairing, i.e. permitting non-standard base-pairing at the 3rd anti-codon position.
Source: Rfam by way of RNAcentral